Molecule: ribosomal RNA, 393 nt
Filed under: uncultured bacterium
Lineage: Bacteria
Description: bacterial SSU rRNA
Rfam family: Bacterial small subunit ribosomal RNA
Source: RNAcentral
GACGAACGCUGGCGGCGUGCCUAACACAUGCAAGUCGAGCGAUGAAAUCCUUCGGGAUGGAUUAGCGGCGGACGGGUGAGUAACACGUGGGUAACCUGCCUUGUAGAGGGGGAUAGCCUUCCGAAAGGAAGAUUAAUACCGCAUAAUAUCUUUUUAUCGCAUGGUAGAAAGAUCAAAGGAGCAAUCCGCUACAAGAUGGACCCGCGGCGCAUUAGCUAGUUGGUGAGGUAACGGCUCACCAAGGCGACGAUGCGUAGCCGACCUGAGAGGGUGAUCGGCCACAUUGGAACUGAGACACGGUCCAGACUCCUACGGGAGGCAGCAGUGGGGAAUAUUGCGCAAUGGGGGAAACCCUGACGCAGCAACGCCGCGUGAAUGAAGAAGGCCUUAGGG